This is a long non-coding RNA of Myotis myotis, 736 nucleotides long. RefSeq lists it as uncharacterized. The transcript is spliced from 2 exons. NCBI's taxonomy places the organism in Eukaryota, Metazoa, Chordata, Mammalia, Chiroptera, Vespertilionidae. The record is from RefSeq and is a predicted model, not a curated record.
UUAGAGAUAAAACCCAAUGUAGUCCUCUCUCUCCCAGCAUUAGGUCUCCCCUUUCUAUUUUCUUUCUUUCUCUUCUUCCUCUGAUGCAGUAAAAUGAUCUUGCUGGACUUUGGAAUCAGAUCAUCCAUAUAUAGCUAAGGCACCUUGAGCAAAAUGACCUCUCUGACCCUCAGUUUCCUCAGCUAUAAAAGGUGGGCAAUAAAACUCAAAAGCAACUGUAGCAUGAGUAGGAAGGGCUCUCUUUACAUGGAUUAAUUUAGUUUAUCCUCAUAAGGACCUUACAAGAUAGGUAUUAUUAUCCCCAGGUUACAGAUGAAGAAACAAGCUAAGAAGAUGAGGUAACUAACUGAUAAUUAGCCAGCUAAGGAUGGAAGAAGAGCAGCAAUGGAAAAGUUCAAGGGUACCUCAGAAGAAAAAGGGAAAGAAGUUAGUGGAAUGCCCCAGAUGGAGACAUGUCAAGUCCAUGGCACCUUAUCAGACUGACAGAAAAGCAAAAACCUCUUCUUCACGUGACCCAGAUCAGAACAGAUUCAAAUGUGAAUGCUACUACUGCCUGAGGUAUGUGGGCACCACCUCUGGCAUCUCCACUGGGAGCAAAGCAACAACCUCUCAUUCUUCCUGUUGUGAUAAGCUAAUACAGGAACUCAACAACUUAAAGCUCAACUCUGAGAACACCCAACCCCCCGCUCUCUGACAAAAACAGAGAGCAGGAAAGGGUUGAGAAGAGACAAAAACA